AGAGUUUGAUCCUGGCUCAGAACGAACGCUGGCGGCGCGUUUUAAGCAUGCAAGUCGAACGGUAGACCGGUGCUUGCACUGGUUGAGAGUGGCGAACGGGUGAGUAACACGUAGGUAAUCUACCUUGAAGUUGGGGAUAGCCUGUGGAAACACAGGGUAAUACCGAAUAAUGUCGGGUAACCGAAGAAAGAGGCUAUGGCCUCGCUUUAAGAUGAGCCUGCGGCUCAUUAGCUAGUUGGUAGGGUAAAGGCCUACCAAGGCGACGAUAAGUAGCCGACCUGAGAGGGUGACCGGCCACACUGGGACUGAGACACGGCCCAGACUCCUACGGGAGGCAGCAGCUAAGAAUCUUCCGCAAUGGUCGAAAGACUGACGGAGCGACGCCGCGUGGACGAUGAAGGCCGGAAGGUUGUAAAGUCCUUUUAUUGGAGAAGAAUAAUGUCAGGAGGGAAUGCCUGACAGAUGACGUUAUCCUAUGAAUAAGCCCCGGCUAAUUACGUGCCAGCAGCCGCGGUAACACGUAAGGGGCAAGCGUUGUUCGGAAUUAUUGGGCGUAAAGGGCGCGUAGGCGGCUAUGAAAGUCUGGUGUGAAAGGCCACAGCUUAACUGUGGGAGUACACUGGAAACUGCAUGGCUAGAGUACAAGAGGGGAAGUUGGAAUUCCUGGUGUAGGGGUGAAAUCUGUAGAUAUCAGGAAGAACACCUGUGGCGAAGGCGAACUUCUGGCUAUGAACUGACGCUGAGGCGCGAAAGCGUGGGGAGCGAACAGGAUUAGAUACCCUGGUAGUCCACGCUGUAAACGAUGUGCACUAGGUGUCGGUUGUUGUAACGAUCGGUGCCGAAGCAAACGCGAUAAGUGCACCGCCUGGGGAGUAUGCUCGCAAGGGUGAAACUCAAAGGAAUUGACGGGGGCCCGCACAAGCGGUGGAGCAUGUUGUUUAAUUCGAUAUACGCGAGGAACCUUACCAGGGCUUGACAUAUGCAUGACGAUCAUAGAGAUAUGGUUUCCCUUCGGGGCGUGUAUACAGGUGCUGCAUGGUUGUCGUCAGCUCGUGCUGUGAGGUGUUGGGUUAAGUCCCGCAACGAGCGCAACCCCUGCUGUCUGUUGCCAGCAUUUCGGAUGGGGACUCAGACGGUACUGCCGAUGACAAACCGGAGGAAGGUGGGGACGACGUCAAAUCAUCAUGGCCCUUAUGUCCUGGGCUACACACGUGCUACAAUGGCCGGUACAGAGCGUUGCAAAACCGCGAGGUGGAGCAAAUCGCAGAAAGCUGGUCUCAGUACGGAUUGGAGUCUGAAACUCGACUUCAUGAAGUUGGAAUCGCUAGUAAUCGCGCAUCAGCAUGGCGCGGUGAAUACGUUCCCGGGCCUUGUACACACCGCCCGUCACACCACCCGAGUUGGGGGUACCCGAAGUCGCUCGUCUAACCGGUUACGGAGGACGGUGCCGAA
RNAcentral lists this ribosomal RNA (1452 nucleotides) under metagenome. RNAcentral's name for it is "bacterial SSU rRNA". It matches the Rfam family "Bacterial small subunit ribosomal RNA". The record is from RNAcentral.